Molecule: ribosomal RNA, 1539 nt
Filed under: Klebsiella pneumoniae
Lineage: Bacteria; Pseudomonadati; Pseudomonadota; Gammaproteobacteria; Enterobacterales; Enterobacteriaceae
Also listed under: 1 other name
Description: bacterial SSU rRNA
Rfam family: Bacterial small subunit ribosomal RNA
Source: RNAcentral
AAAUUGAAGAGUUUGAUCAUGGCUCAGAUUGAACGCUGGCGGCAGGCCUAACACAUGCAAGUCGAGCGGUAGCACAGAGAGCUUGCUCUCGGGUGACGAGCGGCGGACGGGUGAGUAAUGUCUGGGAAACUGCCUGAUGGAGGGGGAUAACUACUGGAAACGGUAGCUAAUACCGCAUAAUGUCGUAAGACCAAAGUGGGGGACCUUCGGGCCUCAUGCCAUCAGAUGUGCCCAGAUGGGAUUAGCUAGUAGGUGGGGUAACGGCUCACCUAGGCGACGAUCCCUAGCUGGUCUGAGAGGAUGACCAGCCACACUGGAACUGAGACACGGUCCAGACUCCUACGGGAGGCAGCAGUGGGGAAUAUUGCACAAUGGGCGCAAGCCUGAUGCAGCCAUGCCGCGUGUGUGAAGAAGGCCUUCGGGUUGUAAAGCACUUUCAGCGGGGAGGAAGGCGAUAAGGUUAAUAACCUUGUCGAUUGACGUUACCCGCAGAAGAAGCACCGGCUAACUCCGUGCCAGCAGCCGCGGUAAUACGGAGGGUGCAAGCGUUAAUCGGAAUUACUGGGCGUAAAGCGCACGCAGGCGGUCUGUCAAGUCGGAUGUGAAAUCCCCGGGCUCAACCUGGGAACUGCAUUCGAAACUGGCAGGCUAGAGUCUUGUAGAGGGGGUAGAAUUCCAGGUGUAGCGGUGAAAUGCGUAGAGAUCUGGAGGAAUACCGGUGGCGAAGGCGGCCCCCUGGACAAAGACUGACGCUCAGGUGCGAAAGCGUGGGGAGCAAACAGGAUUAGAUACCCUGGUAGUCCACGCCGUAAACGAUGUCGAUUUGGAGGUUGUGCCCUUGAGGCGUGGCUUCCGGAGCUAACGCGUUAAAUCGACCGCCUGGGGAGUACGGCCGCAAGGUUAAAACUCAAAUGAAUUGACGGGGGCCCGCACAAGCGGUGGAGCAUGUGGUUUAAUUCGAUGCAACGCGAAGAACCUUACCUGGUCUUGACAUCCACAGAACUUUCCAGAGAUGGAUUGGUGCCUUCGGGAACUGUGAGACAGGUGCUGCAUGGCUGUCGUCAGCUCGUGUUGUGAAAUGUUGGGUUAAGUCCCGCAACGAGCGCAACCCUUAUCCUUUGUUGCCAGCGGUCCGGCCGGGAACUCAAAGGAGACUGCCAGUGAUAAACUGGAGGAAGGUGGGGAUGACGUCAAGUCAUCAUGGCCCUUACGACCAGGGCUACACACGUGCUACAAUGGCAUAUACAAAGAGAAGCGACCUCGCGAGAGCAAGCGGACCUCAUAAAGUAUGUCGUAGUCCGGAUUGGAGUCUGCAACUCGACUCCAUGAAGUCGGAAUCGCUAGUAAUCGUAGAUCAGAAUGCUACGGUGAAUACGUUCCCGGGCCUUGUACACACCGCCCGUCACACCAUGGGAGUGGGUUGCAAAAGAAGUAGGUAGCUUAACCUUCGGGAGGGCGCUUACCACUUUGUGAUUCAUGACUGGGGUGAAGUCGUAACAAGGUAACCGUAGGGGAACCUGCGGUUGGAUCACCUCCUUA